Molecule: non-coding RNA, 265 nt
Organism: Phoenix dactylifera (date palm)
Lineage: Eukaryota; Viridiplantae; Streptophyta; Magnoliopsida; Arecales; Arecaceae
Source: RefSeq, a predicted model, not a curated record
UAGGGCCAAGUUAAAGGUAGACUGGAAGCACGAUGGUAUGACAGAAGAGGAGAUUGCCCGUGUUUUUCCUCCUGAUGUAAUCCCUCAUCAGUAGAGGGAGCUUGUCCACUAUUAGUUUUCCAUGAAAGCUCAGACAUAUUCCAACAUUGGUACAGACUAUUCCUCAUACUCCAGGCUCGAUGAGUUAUGCUCGACGUAGAGCUGAAUUCAUGGAUGAUAAUGGGAGGGAGCCUGAUAAGGUGGAGUUUUAUAAGAUGACUCACAC